CUAAUAAAAAAAAAAAUCAGUGGAGAUAGUGGUCGGAUACAACUGAAAUAACCGCACGCCGUUUUGGAUAAACCUUACCUAUCUCUCUAGAACCGUUCCGGCAUAUUUGCUAUAUAUCAAUAAAACGUUUGAAAGAAUAAACUAAGGUAAAUCCAAAAAUACUAUUGACACGAUUUACAGGAAAUCUGGUCUGCUUGCUACCACAUCUCCUCUCUCUGCCAUCUUCAGUGCCUCCUGAAUGGCCCUGCAGGAAACCCCAAGAUGAGCUGGAGAAGCUCCAGUCAGCGGUCUCCCACGUUAAAGGACAGUUUAUUAACUCCACCUCUUCACCCUCCAACUUUGGAAACAUCCAGAGUCAGGGUGUGCCGGACAGACUGGAGCAGACCCUGGACCCGAGGUGUGUUCUGAGGGAGGCAGGUGCAUUCUCCUCCCUGCCCCUCCAACGCCACCUGGUUGUAGAGGAUGAGUCUACUAAUCAGCAGGGACAGGUCUUGAUUCAUUUCUACAUGAUAUAUUUCUAGAUUAUUAUUUGAUUCUUAUCAUUUAAUGGUAAACAGCAAGUGUUGAAGUUAUAAUUUCUAACUGCCUCUGAAUCUGAGCUGGUGGAGGGUCUCCGGGUUCAGCUGGUGCCCAAGCUGCCUCCUCUGGACCGUUCUGGUGGCCAAGCGCUGAGUCCACAUGGACCUCCAGGGGGUGUUUGUCCAUUUGACCAUAGUCACCCUUCGCAUCCUGAACAACACCCCUUGGGUGGCCGUGGAUACCUGCGCUGCACUUCCACUGUGCACCACCAGGCGGCCGGUGCUGCAGCUCAAGAGCAACGUUUUGAGGAAGUUUGAAUCAGCCCCACAGGUGAACAUUCAUCCCUUCCCUGCAUUUGUACUUUGCAUUUGUGCAAAUAGCAUUUGUUUGUUUUUCCUGC
Molecule: long non-coding RNA, 919 nt
Filed under: Gadus morhua (Atlantic cod)
Lineage: Eukaryota; Metazoa; Chordata; Actinopteri; Gadiformes; Gadidae
Description: lncRNA (ENSGMOG00000026780.1)
Source: RNAcentral